AGCUUUGCGCAGUGGCAGUAUCGUAGCCAAUGAGGUUUAUCCGAGGCGCGAUUAUUGCUAAUUGAAAAAAGCAGAACAUUACCCACCCUAAGUACUUUUUAAAAUACAGUAUUUCAUUCUUACAACAAUUCAAUGAAGUAAUU
RNAcentral lists this small nuclear RNA (143 nucleotides) under Canis lupus familiaris (dog). RNAcentral's name for it is "U4 spliceosomal RNA". It matches the Rfam family "U4 spliceosomal RNA". Rfam says of the family: U4 small nuclear RNA (U4 snRNA) is a component of the major U2-dependent spliceosome. The structure of U4 snRNA from yeast and human has been reported. Lineage: Eukaryota; Metazoa; Chordata; Mammalia; Carnivora; Canidae. The record is from Rfam by way of RNAcentral. RNAcentral also lists the same sequence under 1 other name.